AUCCCACACAGCUUUUCAAAAAAGAAAUUGAUCGAGAGUUUGAGAAAUAUUUUGAUGGCUUCUGGCUGCAAGUGUGGUGACAAUUGCUCUUGUGGAGAUAGCUGCAAUUGCCUUUCUGGGACCAUCAAAGAGGCCUCCUCCCUGAUAAACAUGAAUAAUGGCUGCGACUGCUGCGACAGCAGCUGCUCGUGCGAUGCGUGCAGCUGCUGCUAGAGACCAAGACCCCAAACAACAAAGCUGGUAAAAUCUUGUGAAAUGGAAUAAAAUUAUGAAGCAACUUGCAAAAUCUAUUUUUCCUUUUUUUUUCUCUUUUUGUUUGAAUAUGUAAUGGCUACUUGGCUUGAAAUCUAGUGUGAACUAUGAACUGCUUUGUUGUGGGAAGUUUGUGUUUAAUGAAUCUUUGGUUUGUGUAAUC
Long non-coding RNA from Momordica charantia (bitter melon), 415 nucleotides. RefSeq lists it as uncharacterized. Lineage: Eukaryota; Viridiplantae; Streptophyta; Magnoliopsida; Cucurbitales; Cucurbitaceae. The record is from RefSeq and is a predicted model, not a curated record.